AGUGAACGCUGGCGGCAGGCCUAACACAUGCAAGUCGAACGGCAGCACAGUACUUGCUCCUGGUUUCGGCGGCGGGCGGGGGAGGGGUGCGGAAGAAUCUGCCAGCUAGUUUUUGGUGGGGGCUAAAGGCGGGCAAUAAUACCUCAUACCGCCUGAGGCCGAAGGGUGGAAACAGUGGGACCUCCCGCUCUGCGAGGAUGAGAGGUCGGAUUAGCUAGUUGGUGGGGUAAAGGCCUACCAAGGCGACGAUCCGUAACUGGUCUGAGAGGAUGAUCAGCCACACUGGAACUGAGACACGGUCCAGACUCCUACGGGAGGCAGCAGUGGGGAAUAUUGGACAAUGGGCGCAAGCCUGAUCCAGCCAUGCCGCGUGUGUGAAGAAGGCCUUCGGGUUGUAAAGCCCUUUUGUUGGGGAGGAAGGGCAGUAGGUUAAUACCCCGCUGUUCUGACGGUACCCAAAGAAUAAGCACCGGCUAACUUCGUG
This 484-nucleotide ribosomal RNA is filed under the name uncultured bacterium. RNAcentral describes it as "partial 16S ribosomal RNA". It matches the Rfam family "Bacterial small subunit ribosomal RNA", at positions 29 to 507 of the family's 1533-position model. The record is from RNAcentral.